ACUCCCGGCACGGGGAGGUAGUGACGAAAAAUAACGAUACGGGACUCAUCCGAGGCCCCGUAAUCGGAAUGAGUACACUUUAAAUCCUUUAACGAGGACCCAUUGGAGGGCAAGUCUGGUGCCAGCAGCCGCGGUAACUCCAGCUCCAAUAGCGUAUAUUAAAGUUGUUGCGGUUAAAAAGCUCGUAGUUGAAUUUGUGUUCCGCGCUGUCGGUUCACCGCCCGCGGUGUUUAACUGGCACGUCCGCGGAACGUCCUGCCGGUGGAUGCGCGGACCUUGUAUACUUCCCCAUUAUGCGUGUGCAACUUCGGUUGUUACUGUAUAAUGUGGUGGGGUUGCAGGCGCUCCAGCAUCCGACUCAAUAAUCCUGUCGCGGUGCUCUUAAUUGAGUGUCGAGGCGGGCCGGCACGUUUACUUUGAACAAAUUAGAGUGCUCAAAGCAGGCUAAAAUUUCGCCUGAAUAUUGUGUGCAUGGAAUAAUGGAACAGGACCUCGGUUCUAUUUUGUUGGUUUUCGGAACCCCGAGGUAAUGAUUAAUAGGGACAGAUGGGGGCAUUCGUAUUGCGACGUUAGAGGUGAAAUUCUUGGAUCGUCGCAAGACGGACAGAAGCGAAAGCAUUUGCCAAAAAUGUUUUCAUUAAUCAAGAACGAAAGUCAGAGGCUCGAAGGCGAUCAGAUACCGCCCUAGUUCUGACCAUAAACGAUGCCAGCUAGCGAUCCGCCGACGUUCCUCCGAUGACUCGGCGGGCAGCUUCCGGGAAACCAAAGCUUUUGGGUUCCGGGGGAAGUAUGGUUGCAAAGCUGAAACUUAAAGGAAUUGACGGAAGGGCAUCACAAGGAGUGGAGCCUGCGGCUUAAUUUGACUCAACACGGGGAAACUUACCAGGCCCAGACACCGGAAGGAUUGACAGAUUGAGAGCUCUUUCUUGAUUCGGUGGGUGGUGGUGCAUGGCCGU
Molecule: ribosomal RNA, 956 nt
Filed under: Microcharidius sp. 42 aff. bazi CA-2017
Lineage: Eukaryota; Metazoa; Arthropoda; Insecta; Coleoptera; Carabidae
Description: SSU rRNA
Rfam family: Eukaryotic small subunit ribosomal RNA
Source: RNAcentral